CCUACGGGAGGCAGCAGUGGGGGAUAUUGCACAAUGGGGGAAACCCUGAUGCAGCGACGCCGCGUGUGGGAAGACGGUCUUCUGGAUUGUAAACCACUGUCCCCAGGGACGAAAAUGACGGUACCUGGGGAGGAAGCUCCGGCUAACUACGUGCCAGCAGCCGCGGUAAUACGUAGGGAGCAAGCGUUGUCCGGAAUUACUGGGUGUAAAGGGAGCGUAGGCGGGGAUGCAAGUUGGGUGUCAAAACUACCGGCUCAACCGAUAGUCGCACUCAAAACUGCAGCUCUUGAGUGAAGUAGAGGCAGGCGGAAUUCCUAGUGUAGCGGUGAAAUGCGUAGAUAGUAGGAGGAACACCGAUUGCGAAGGCAGCAUACCGGCGCCCAACUGACGCGGAAGCACGAAAGCGUGGGUAUCGAACAGGAUUAGAUACCCUUGUAGUC
This 440-nucleotide ribosomal RNA is filed under the name uncultured bacterium. RNAcentral's name for it is "partial 16S ribosomal RNA". It matches the Rfam family "Bacterial small subunit ribosomal RNA", at positions 338 to 795 of the family's 1533-position model. The record is from RNAcentral.